GACGAACGCUGGCGGUGUGCUUAACACAUGCAAGUCGAACGGUAAGGCCCUUUCGGGGUUACACGAUUGGCUAACGGGUGAGUAACACGUGCGUAACCUGCCCUCCUCUCUGUGAUAACUGUCUUCAACGGUUUCUAAUUCUUGAUAUAUGCCUGCACCUCCUCUUUUGGGUUGGUUGGAUUUUUUGGUUGGGGAUGGAUUCGCGGCCUAUCUGCUUGUUGGUGGGGUAGUGGGUAACCAAGGCUUCGUUGGGUGGCCGGCCUGAGGGGGCGAACGGCCAAAUUGGGGAUGAGGAAAGGCCCAAAAUCCUACGGGAGGCAGCAGGGGGGAAUAAUGCAAAAUGGACGGAAGUCUGAUGCAGCAAAGCCGCGGGCGGGAUGAAGGCCUUCGGGGUGUAAAACGCUUUCAAUUGUGAAGAAGCUUUUUGUGACGGUAGCAGGAGAAGAAGCACCGGCUAACUACGUG
RNAcentral lists this ribosomal RNA (465 nucleotides) under uncultured bacterium. RNAcentral describes it as "partial 16S ribosomal RNA". It matches the Rfam family "Bacterial small subunit ribosomal RNA", at positions 28 to 507 of the family's 1533-position model. The record is from RNAcentral.